Mus caroli (Ryukyu mouse) is the source of this 1818-nucleotide non-coding RNA. The record is from RefSeq and is a predicted model, not a curated record. Lineage: Eukaryota; Metazoa; Chordata; Mammalia; Rodentia; Muridae.
AUGGCCACGGGCCUGCGGGCCCCCCACUUGGUGGCUGUGGGACUGCUGACCUGGGCGGCUUUGGGGCUGCUGGUGGCCAGACACGAGGGUCAUGGUGACCUGCACAAAGAUGUGGAAGAGGACUUCCAUGACAACAGUCACGGGCACUCGCAUGAAGAUUUCCACCAUGGCCACGGCCACGGCCACACUCAUGAGAGCAUCUGGCAUGGGCAUGCCCCCAGCCAUGACCAUGGACACUCACGUGAGGAUUUGCACCAUGGCCAUAGCCAUGGUCACUCCCACGUUAGCCUCCACCGUGGAGGACAUGGACAUGCCCAUCGUGAACAUAGCCAUGGGACUUCUAGGGAGGCUGGGGCUCCAGGCAUCAAACACCACCUGGACACUGUCACCCUCUGGGCCUAUGCACUGGGGGCCACAGUGCUGAUCUCCGCAGUUCCAUUCUUCGUGCUGUUCCUCAUCCCAGUGGAAUCUAACUCUCCCAGGCACCGCUCUCUGCUCCAGAUCCUGCUCAGUUUUGCUUCCGGGGGGCUCCUGGGUGAUGCGUUCCUCCACCUCAUCCUUCAUGCCUUGGAACCUCAUUCUCACCACGCUCCGGAUUAGCCUGGACACGGACACUCCCACAGUGGCCAGGGCCCCAUUCUCUCUGUGGGGCUGUGGGUUCUCAGUGGGAUUGUCGCCUUCCUCGUGGUGGAGAAAUUUGUGAGACACGUGAAAGGAGGACACGGACACAGUCACGGACACGGAGACAGGCAUGCGCAUGGAGACAGUCACACCCAUGGACACAGCCAUGCGCAUGGAGAUAGACAUGAGUGUUCUUCAAAGGAAAAGCCCAGCACAGAGGAAGAGAAGGAAGUGGGCAGGUUGCGGAAAAGGAGAGAAGGAAACACGGGGCCCAGAGAUGGCCCGGUGAAACCUCAGAGCCCUGAAGAAGAAAAAGCAGGCUCAGACCUGCGUGUGUCUGGGUACCUGAAUCUGGCUGCUGACUUGGCACACAACUUCACAGACAGUCUGGCCAUUGGUGCUUCCUUUCUUGGGGGCCGAGGGCUAGGGAUCCUGACCACAAUGACAGUUCUGCUGCAUGAAGUGCCUCAUGAGGUAGGGGACUUUGCCAUCCUGGUCCAGUCUGGCUGCAGCAAGAAGCAGGCGAUGCAUCUGCAACUCGUGAUUGCAGUUGGAGCAUUGGCAGGCACAGCCUGUGCCCUUCUCACCGAGGGAGGGGCAGUGGACAGUGACGUGGCAGGUGGUGCAGGUCCCGGCUGGGUCCUGCCAUUCACUGCAGGCGGAUUUAUCUAUGUAGCAACAGUGUCUGUGCUGCCUGAGCUAUUGAGAGAGGCAUCUCCACUGCAGUCACUGUUGGAGGUGCUGGGGCUGCUAGGGGGUGUUGCCAUGAUGGUACUGAUUGCCCAUCUUGAGUGAGGGGUGGGGUGACCUGUCCUUACCCUAACUCCUAAUAAAGGCAGUUGGGAGUCCUGGUCAGUGCUAAUGCCAGAAGGAGUGUCAGCCUUGGAGAUUAGCAGAACCUCUGUUUGAGGCCUUAGAGGUAUGAGGAUCAUACGGAGCAUGAGAGGCCAGAAGGACCACGGAGUGGGAGACUGCCCAGCAGUGUUGUUGCUUUUGGAAAAAUCAAUGGGACCAUGAAGAAGACUGGGAAGACGGUAGCCUACCCGAUGGUCCCUAGUCUACGAUUUCUCAGCACCAGCGUGCCACAGGGGUCCCUCCAAGGCCCAUCUCCCUCUGAACUAGUUAGUGAUGGCUUCAGGGAAGACCUGGCAGAAGGACUGGGGUAGACAUCAAUCGUGUGUCCUGAUUUGAAGGGGG